This 564-nucleotide long non-coding RNA is filed under the name Numida meleagris (helmeted guineafowl). RNAcentral's name for it is "lncRNA (ENSNMEG00000000163.1)". The record is from RNAcentral. Lineage: Eukaryota; Metazoa; Chordata; Aves; Galliformes; Numididae.
AUUUUGGGGCAAAAGAGGGCGCUUUUGGGCCAGAUGUGCUGUGUUUUAGGGGGAAACGCGGCUGUUUUGGGGGAAACUCUUGGCUUUUUAGGGAACCAUGUUGGGUUUUGGGGGAGCCAUGUUGGAUUAUGGGAAAUGUGCUGGCGUUUUGGGGGAACUCUUGGUGUUUUGAGGAAACUCUUGAUGUUUUGGGGGAGCUCUUGGUAUUUUGGGGGAGCCAUGUUGGGUUUUGGGGGAACCAUGUUGGAUUAUGGGAAAUGUGUUGGUGUUUUGGGGGAACUCUUGGUGUUUUGGGGGAACCGUGUUGGGUUUGGGUGGAGCCAUGUUGGAUUAUGGAAAAUGUGUUGGUGUUUUGGGGAACUCUUGGUAUUUUGGGGGAACCAUGUUGGUUUUGGGGGAACCAUGUUGGGUUUUGUGGGGGCUCUUUGUGUUUUGGGGGAACCAUGUUGGCGUUUUGGGGGAACUCUUGGCAUUUUGGGGGAACCAUGUUGGGUUUUGGGGGAGCUCUUGGUGUUUUGGGGGAGCCAUGUUGGGUUUUGGGGGAACUCUUGGUAUUUUGGGGGA